CCCGCCGGGUCCCAGCCCAUCCUUCGCAACUUCGGAAAGAGCUCUUUUGGAGGUGAUGUGAGCAGCGCUGGCCGAAGGGAGUUAAGAGGAAUCUAAAAAUGGGCUGCAUUUCAAGUCUCGACUGAAAAUUUCCAGCCAGUAUCUAGCAUCACAAAACUUGAAACAGACUGGACUGCAGUGCUUGUGGGAAGAAUAACCCUGGGACCACCUGGCCUAACAGGGAAGCUUCAGUGAAAGCUUGGUACUGAACUGCUACUUAUAGAGCACACCCAUUUAAAAAGACACUAGAGACAAAGAACAACGCUCAACAGGACACAUAACUCAGAAUCUCAGAAGUCAGACGCCUGCAGAAUCAUAAACACAGGAGCUAAAGACUAACUGGCCAACCACUUGGACCUUCUUGUCUGAGAAGACCCUUGUGGCAGCUGCAACACAACUGAGGGCCUCCUAAGAAGCUCAAUUUACUCAAGCUAAAACUUCAGGACUCAUGAAGAUCAAGUAUACAGCACAUUACAACAAGUCCCACUGAGGCAUGGGUGGCCCUGGAGCAGGUGAGUGUCUCGAGGGAUCAUUAUCUGGCUGGAAGUACUUUAAGAAGAAUGUCUGUGGCAGAGAUCUAAGGAGCUCACAAAAUUCAAAGCAAAGUGUUUGGAUCUCUA
Herpailurus yagouaroundi (jaguarundi) is the source of this 659-nucleotide long non-coding RNA. RefSeq lists it as uncharacterized. NCBI's taxonomy places the organism in Eukaryota, Metazoa, Chordata, Mammalia, Carnivora, Felidae. The transcript is spliced from 4 exons. The record is from RefSeq and is a predicted model, not a curated record.